Molecule: long non-coding RNA, 1657 nt
Filed under: Homo sapiens (human)
Lineage: Eukaryota; Metazoa; Chordata; Mammalia; Primates; Hominidae
Description: HSALNT0348752
Source: RNAcentral
UGGAAAAGUGCCUCUUAGGCUCUCAUUAGAUCUGGACACACCUUUUAACCAGUAUUCUGAGUUGGCGUAGGGCCGAUCGUGCAUGCUGGUGGCGAAGCCCAUUCUUGGUCUGGUUCUUCUGAGGCUCCAGCCAGAAUAUGUCUCAUUUAGUGGCUCAGUGAAGGGGUUGGAAGUCAGAGGCUCUGGAUGAAAGCUAGCUGCCUUCCUCAGGACUGGUACCGGGGCCACGUGUCAUGAGAUUGUGUGUGAUAUAAGAUGUGCGAAGGUUCUGUUAGGAUCUGUCCAAAUACCAGGCACAGUUAGGAUUUUUUCUUAUUAAUGCACAUGAGAUUGUAAGACCACACUUUCUUUUAAAUCACAGUGUAGCUCUGAUGAACAGCUCAGUAGGCAGGGUUUUUUGAAAAACAAACUUUCUUCCACUCGGAGCUCAUGGACAUGGAGCAAGGGACCUGGAGCUGAGAAGUGGAGCUCUGGUCCUAGGGCCACCUCUCUGGGUUCCCAAAGUCCCCUUGGAAUGCUGUAACCCCGCAUUGUUCUAGAAUCAUUGCUUUUCAUGUCCUUCUCCCCACCCCUAGACAGUCAGCCCUUUGAAGGCAAGGACUAUGUCCUAUUCCACCUUGAAUUCUCAUCACCAAGCGGAACGCCUGACACCUAAUCUAGUCAGUGCUUACUAAGUGCUCAUUAUCAAUGCAAGAAUAACAGAGCUAUGGAACCUGGCAGCCACCUCUUUUCUUUGGGCCUCAGUCUUCUCAUGCAGAACUUGGGAUUGGACUAAAUUGGAUCUCCUAGGCUGCCUCUGACUCUAACAAUUCUCUGAUUUAAAUUAUUCUUCAUCUGGAUGUAAUCCACCUUGCUUUUCCAUCCCAGGCUCUGUUCUCACUCAUGGCUGAUGGGCAAAGGCGACUAAGGAGGCACGGCUCCGUGAGGAUGUCCUUACAACUUUGCAACCCCCAAGGAAAAAGAGGUUGUUUUCCCAAUAUCUACUGUAAAACCUAAGAGGAAAAUUUCACGUUGCUGCAGCUUGGAUCAUGCAUUUAUCAUUUGGACCACCUCUGAGGACAGGGAGUUGCAAUGUGGAUUUUAUGGAAUAGAUGCUAUGUGGUGGAAUCCUGAGUCACGGCCAAACAGCAAAUGCCAGCAAGAGUAGAGUAGGAGGCAUUUCUGUGUACACUUUGGGAAAAAGUCCAUUCCUCACUUGGUUUCAUUUCUGGCCUGAGCCGCUGUGUCCUCCACCUGAAGCCCUGACCUCUCCGUUACUGACUGGAUCCCAAUGUGCCACAGUUCACCUGCAUAAGGAGGGGGUCGAAGACAAGAAAACUGUGAGAGGCUAAGUAAUUUGCUGAGCUCAUAUGACAUCUAAAUGGCAGAGCUCAGAAACCUCAGGGAUUAGAGUGAAGUAGAAUAGAGGAAGUUAACCUUUCCAGUGCUACCUGCGGGCUGAGAAUGACGCACACAGCUUUUUUGAUACCCGGAAGUGAGACAAACUCAUAAGAUGGGGUGAGGAAAUGAGACAUCAAAAGAUUAAGUGACUUGCUAAAAUUUACACUGCCUACGAAAGCUGACCUGGAAUGUGAACCAGAAAUUGUCCUUAACCAAAUCACCUCACUGUCUCUCAAGAGAUGGGGUCUCACUACAUUGCCCAGGCUGGCUCUCAAAU